GAAUUUUGGACAAUGGGCGAAAGCCUGAUCCAGCAAUGCCGCGUGCAGGAUGAAGGCCUUCGGGUUGUAAACUGCUUUUGUACGGAACGAAACGCUUUGGGUUAAUACCCUGGAGUCAUUACGGUACCGUACGAAUAAGCCCCGGCGAACUCCGUUGCGGCAGCCGCGGUAAUACGUAGGGUGCAAGCUUUAAGCGGAAUUACUGGGCGUAAGGCGUGCGCAGGCGGUGUUGUAAGAGAGAGGUGAAAUCCCCGGGCUCAACCUGGGAACUGCCUUUGUGACUGCAAGGCUAGAGUACGGCAGAGGGGGGUGGAAUUCCGCGUGUAGCAGUGAAAUGCGUAGAUAUGCGGAGGAACACCGAUGGCGAAGGCAACCCCCUGGGCCUGUACUGACGCUCAUGCACGAAAGCGUGGGGAGCAAACAGG
RNAcentral lists this ribosomal RNA (425 nucleotides) under uncultured bacterium. RNAcentral's name for it is "partial 16S ribosomal RNA". It matches the Rfam family "Bacterial small subunit ribosomal RNA", at positions 359 to 776 of the family's 1533-position model. The record is from RNAcentral.